RNAcentral lists this ribosomal RNA (644 nucleotides) under bacterium HN3-5-43. RNAcentral describes it as "bacterial SSU rRNA". It matches the Rfam family "Bacterial small subunit ribosomal RNA", at positions 338 to 974 of the family's 1533-position model. The record is from RNAcentral.
CCUACGGGAGGCAGCAGUAGGGAAUCUUCCACAAUGGACGAAAGUCUGAUGGAGCAACGCCGCGUGAGUGAUGAAGGUUUUCGGAUCGUAAAACUCUGUUGUAAGGGAAGAACAAGUACGUUAGGAAAUGAACGUACCUUGACGUACCUUAUUAGAAAGCCACGGCUAACUACGUGCCAGCAGCCGCGGUAAUACGUAGGUGGCAAGCGUUGUCCGGAUUUAUUGGGCGUAAAGCGCGCGCAGGCGGUUUCUUAAGUCUGAUGUGAAAGCCCACGGCUUUACCGUGGAGGGUCAUUGGAAACUGGGAGACUUGAGUGCAGAAGAGGAAAGUGGAAUUCCAAGUGUAGCGGUGAAAUGCGUAGAGAUUUGGAGGAACACCAGUGGCGAAGGCGACUUUCUGGUCUGCAACUGACGCUGAGGCGCGAAAGCAUGGGGAGCAAACAGGAUUAGAUACCCUGGUAGUCCAUGCCGUAAACGAUGAGUGCUAAGUGUUAGGGGGUUUCCGCCCCUUAGUGCUGCAGCUAACGCAUUAAGCACUCCGCCUGGGGAGUACGACCGCAAGGUUGAAACUCAAAGGAAUUGACGGGGGCCCGCACAAGCGGUGGAGCAUGUGGUUUAAUUCGAAGCAACGCGAAGAACCUUAC